UACGUAGGGACCGAGCGUUGUCCGGAAUCAUUGGGCGUAAAGAGCGUGUAGGCGGCCACUUAAGUCCUGCGUGAAAUCUUGCGGCUCAACCGCAAGCGGUCGUGGGAAACUGGGUGGCUAGAGUGCGGGAGAGGAGAGUGGAAUUCCUGGUGUAGCGGUGGAAUGCGCAGAUAUCAGGAAGAACACCGGUGGCGAAGGCGGUUCUCUGGGCCUGUACUGACGCUGAGGAGCGAAAGCGUGGGGAGCGAACAGG
This 253-nucleotide ribosomal RNA is filed under the name uncultured bacterium. RNAcentral describes it as "partial 16S ribosomal RNA". It matches the Rfam family "Bacterial small subunit ribosomal RNA", at positions 524 to 776 of the family's 1533-position model. The record is from RNAcentral.